CUGCAUAGGAGAGAGCAGGAACCAAUCAUUCAGAGUAAAGCUGGAUGGACAGGGGAAUAGAAUGACCAGUCCUCUGUCUUGAUAUUCUGCUUAGAGUCAGCUGCUGUUUGGGAUGGUCAUAUUAGCCACACGAGUCUCAGCAGCCACACGAGUCUCAGCAACAAUACGAGUCACCACAGCCACACGAGUCUCAGCAGCCA
This is a non-coding RNA of Biomphalaria pfeifferi, 200 nucleotides long. The record is from the annotation of a GenBank genome assembly. Lineage: Eukaryota; Metazoa; Mollusca; Gastropoda; Planorbidae.